CGCUGGCGGCGUGCUUAACACAUGCAAGUCGAACGAUGAUGCCCAGCUUGCUGGGCGGAUUAGUGGCGAACGGGUGAGUAAUACGUGAGUAACCUGCCCUUGACUCUGGGAUAAGCCUGGGAAACUGGGUCUAAUACUGGAUACUACCUNCCACCGCAUGGUGGGUGGUGGAAAGGGUUUUACUGGUUUUGGAUGGGCUCACGGCCUAUCAGCUUGUUGGUGGGGUAAUGGCUCACCAAGGCGACGACGGGUAGCCGGCCUGAGAGGGUGACCGGCCACACUGGGACUGAGACACGGCCCAGACUCCUACGGGAGGCAGCAGUGGGGAAUAUUGCACAAUGGGCGGAAGCCUGAUGCAGCGACGCCGCGUGAGGGAUGACGGCCUUCGGGUUGUAAACCUCUUUCAGUAGGGAAGAAGCGAGAGUGACGGUACCUGCAGAAGAAGCGCCGGCUAACUACGUGCCAGCAGCCGCGGUAAUAC
Molecule: ribosomal RNA, 481 nt
Filed under: uncultured Kocuria sp.
Lineage: Bacteria; Bacillati; Actinomycetota; Actinomycetes; Micrococcales; Micrococcaceae
Description: bacterial SSU rRNA
Rfam family: Bacterial small subunit ribosomal RNA
Source: RNAcentral